Molecule: ribosomal RNA, 465 nt
Filed under: uncultured Klebsiella sp.
Lineage: Bacteria; Pseudomonadati; Pseudomonadota; Gammaproteobacteria; Enterobacterales; Enterobacteriaceae
Description: bacterial SSU rRNA
Rfam family: Bacterial small subunit ribosomal RNA
Source: RNAcentral
CCUACGGGGUGCAGCAGUGGGGAAUACUGCACAAUGGGCGCAAGCCUGAUGCAGCCAUGCCGCGUGUGUGAAGAAGGCCUUCGGGUUGUAAAGCACUUUCAGCGGGGAGGAAGGCGUUAAGGUUAAUAACCUUGGCGAUUGACGUUACCCGCAGAAGAAGCACCGGCUAACUCCGUGCCAGCAGCCGCGGUAAUACGGAGGGUGCACGCGUUAAUCGGAAUUACUGGGCGUAAAGCGCACGCAGGCGGUCUGUCAAGUCGGAUGUGAAAUCCCCGGGCUCAACCUGGGAACUGCAUUCGAAACUGGCAGGCUAGAGUCUUGUAGAGGGGGGUAGAAUUCCAGGUGUAGCGGUGAAAUGCGUAGAGAUCUGGAGGAAUACCGGUGGCGAAGGCGGCCCCCUGGACAAAGACUGACGCUGAGAAGCGAAAGCGUGGGGAGCGAACAGGAUUAGAUACCCGAGUAGUC